RNAcentral lists this ribosomal RNA (407 nucleotides) under uncultured bacterium. RNAcentral's name for it is "partial 16S ribosomal RNA". It matches the Rfam family "Bacterial small subunit ribosomal RNA", at positions 28 to 526 of the family's 1533-position model. The record is from RNAcentral.
GACGAACUCUGGCGGAGUGCCUAAUACAUGCAAGUAGAACGCAGUUGCGAACGGGUGAGUAACGCGUAGGUAACUGCCUCAUAGCGGGGGAUAACUAUUGGACACGAUAUCUAAGACCGCAUACUGUGAGAUGGACCUGCGUUGUAUUCGCUCGUUGGUGAGGUAAAGGCUCACCAAGGCGACGAUACAUAGCCGACCUGAGAGGGUGGUCGGACACACUGGGACUGAGACACGGCCCAGACUCCUACGGGAGGCAGCAGUAGGGAAUAUUCGGCACUGGACGGAAGGCUGACCGAGCAGCGCCGCGUGAGUGAAGAAGGUUGUCGGAGCGUAAAGCGCUGUUGUUAGGGAAGCGGUAACGAGCCUGAAAGGAACGGCUAACGACGUGCCAGCCGCCGCGGUAAUAC